GCCGGAGUGGCGGAACAGGCAGACGCAAGGGACUUAAAAUCCCUUGGGCCUUUGGCCCGUGCGGGUUCGAUUCCCGCCUCCGGCACCA
This 88-nucleotide transfer RNA is filed under the name Bacillota bacterium. Its description in RNAcentral is "Firmicutes bacterium (anaerobic digester metagenome) tRNA-Leu". It matches the Rfam family "tRNA". From Rfam's summary of the family: Transfer RNA (tRNA) molecules are approximately 80 nucleotides in length. Their secondary structure includes four short double-helical elements and three loops (D, anti-codon, and T loops). Lineage: Bacteria; Bacillati; Bacillota. The record is from RNAcentral.